This is an RNA transcript of Daphnia pulicaria, 1065 nucleotides long. RefSeq lists it as uncharacterized. The record is from RefSeq and is a predicted model, not a curated record. Lineage: Eukaryota; Metazoa; Arthropoda; Branchiopoda; Diplostraca; Daphniidae. The transcript has 4 exons.
UGCAUCCGCGGCGUUACAAGAAUAAAUUCAAUUGAUGCUGAAGAAUUGACCCGAUCUGAAACUGGGAAAAUUUGAGAAUUCCGGAGAAAUUUUUCGAUUCGGCUCGAGUACAUUUUACCGAUGUUAAAUACCGGAUAGGCAAUGACGCAUUCGGCCAUUUCUUAUUUUAAAAUAUUUGCCCAAUAGCCAGCCCCACCCAUCUCUGUGUGUUAUUUCUUGUUUUCAUUUCUCGCUCCAAUCCCGUUUGUUGUUGUUGUUUGUGUCGACGUGCCAGUCACUUGUGAACCCGGAGCUUUUACGUUUCAACCUCCGGGGCACAAUCAAAGUUUCAAAACAAUUCUUGUUGAUCUGCUUCAGAUCUACCCAGCUAGAGAGGCCUACCAUCGUCACACAUUAAUGCCACGAAAAGCUUGCAUGACACUUGACACAAUACUCACAAUAAAUACAAUACACUACGCUUAACUUAUUUAAAAUAUGAUACGGCGAUGAUACUUGUGAAUAACUUCGUUCACACGAAUUUCCGUAACAAGUAACGUGAAAUUAGUUUGAGUAAACUAACAAAUGAAAAGGGAAAAGAGACGAUUCUUUCCGCCUGAAUUCAAUUACCGGUUAGACUGGGUGAGACAGCACAGUCGAGAAAUCAAUCCAAUUUAUCUUGUCUGUUGUCGAACCUUGUGGCGUCGUACGUCUGUCCCUAUUCUUUCGGCGUCUUAUUGUUAUUCCUAUUCUGUUUGCGUGGUACUCGUGUCCUUGUCUUUGAAUCGAUGAAUCGCACCCUCAUGUUUUUUGUACAGUAAGCACAACAAAACAAUUCUCAGAUCAAAGUUGCCAUCUUUACCGCCAGAUGGCAGCGCCUGGCAGAAACGGGAAAGAAAACAAACAGACUGAAUAACACCGGAGAUUCGAGUUAAAUAGGACGCCAUAAAAAGAAAGUCGAGGUUUUCUUUACCAAGAUCAUACAGUCUGUUCUCAGGAUUUCACAAAGGUAUAUACCUCAAUGACUGUGGGAUGACCCGCUGACCAAUUGCAUUCAAGUACGAGACUGAAAGAAAGACACAAAGAUGG